This 497-nucleotide ribosomal RNA is filed under the name uncultured bacterium. RNAcentral describes it as "partial 16S ribosomal RNA". It matches the Rfam family "Bacterial small subunit ribosomal RNA", at positions 28 to 507 of the family's 1533-position model. The record is from RNAcentral.
GAUGAACGCUGGCGGCGUGCCUAAUACAUGCAAGUCGAGCGAACAGACGAGGAGCUUGCUCCUCUGACGUUAGCGGCGGACGGGUGAGUAACACGUGGAUAACCUACCUAUAAGACUGGGAUAACUUCGGGAAACCGGAGCUAAUACCGGAUAAUAUAUUGAACCGCAUGGUUCAAUAGUGAAAGACGGUUUUGCUGUCACUUAUAGAUGGAUCCGCGCCGCAUUAGCUAGUUGGUAAGGUAACGGCUUACCAAGGCAACGAUGGGUAGCCGACCUGAGAGGGUGAUCGGCCCCACUGGAACUGAGACACGGUCCAGACUCCUACGGGAGGCAGCAGUAGGGAAUCUUCCGCAAUGGGCGAAAGCUUGACGGAGCAACGCCGCGUGAGUGAUGAAGGUCUUCGGAUCGUAAAACUCUGUUAUUAGGGAAGAACAAAUGUGUAAGUAACUAUGCACGUCUUGACGGUACCUAAUCAGAAAGCCACGGCUAACUACGUG